Molecule: long non-coding RNA, 3087 nt
Filed under: Bemisia tabaci
Lineage: Eukaryota; Metazoa; Arthropoda; Insecta; Hemiptera; Aleyrodidae
Description: lncRNA ENSSSA1NGG004080
Source: RNAcentral
AUGGCUGAUGAUGAAAGUUUUACUAUGAAAUUCAAUAGAUGUCUUGAGUGUGAUUCCAACUGUUCAGAUGAUAUGUGCGAUAGCAAUAAAACUUUUACCUGUUACCAGUGCGAGGAUGGAUUUUUUUGCCAAAAAGAUGAGCCUUGCAAGAAGAAAGCCAAGGACCCUUGCAAAAAACAGGACAGCUGUCGAGAUAAUAGUGACCAAGAUGAAUGCGGCGGCAACUCGUGCCCAUCCAAGGGCCGCCGCUGCAGUGCUAAUGCUGACAUGAAGAUCGUUCAGAUCAAUAACCCAACAGCACAGCGGAAAUGCUUGCUCUCCAGCUGCGGCAAAAAAGUCGCCAAAUGCAAGUUCCAAGAGCAUGUCUGCACAUGCCAUCCUAAUUGCAAAAUUCUCAAUGAGGACACCUCAUUUCACAUCUGCACAGACAGCCCGAAACGCCGCACUGUUCUCAUCAUUGCUCAUUCGGAGCUUUUCUGGUUCCACGUUUACAAUGACAAGUCCAAACAAACAAUAUUUGCAGUGGUGCAGUGUCUUGAGAACAAAUGCGAGGCAGACAAGUACACUUACACGAUAAAGAUGGACUCAUGCACUGUUCAGUUGUGCUUCUCGCAGACGACGAUUCCUUGUGAUGAGGAUUUCAAUGAAGUUCUCAGCGCAGGAAAUUGCUUCUCUGUACCCUACUGCUUGGUUCAGAGCUUCUCACAAGGAAAACAGUACCGUAACGGACGCCUUGUCAUUUGCAAACGGGAAGAAGAUUCUUACUAACAAAUUUUAUUAUUUUUGCAGAAUGUUGUUCAGUUACUCGCUCUAAUUUUUAUCUUUUUUUAGCCCACCACAUGCCUCCAAAAAAUGAAAGGUCUUUAAAAUUUACAAAACUUUUUUCCUGCAGAACACUUUUAAUCUAUUUAAAAAUUCAUCAAAUUUAUUAAGAGAAUUCCCAUCAAUCUUUUCAGAUAAGUUACUCGCAAGCAAUCAUCAAAAACUUUUUUCAAUAGAUUGUGCACCAAAGAUUUUUUUUUUGCUUUUUUCUUCCUACCCGUGAUGAAAAAAAUGAAAAAUUUCAGUACUUGACCAAUUUGUUACAUUUUUUUCCUGAAUAAAAAUACCUUCGUCAAAUUCUUAUUGCUUAAAUUUGCAUCUUACCUAAUGGUUCAAUAAUUGCCACAAUUUUUUCUGAAUACUAAGUACUUGAAAGAUCUCAGAGGAAUGCAUUGAACACUUUUUGUAUUGAUGCAUUAUCGAAACAGACAAACAAAAUUCAAUUUCUUAAAAAAAAGUAUUUACUUGCAGAACAUUUUAUCAAAUAACAAUAUUGUGGGUAACUACAGAACUAUACAAGAGGUCGUGAGAACAACUAACGGUGUUUUUAUUGCUAAAACAUGAGAUACAAGUGAACAAACUUUGUUCUGAGAUGUGCGAAGACAGAUCACUCUUUAAUUAUUCAUUGAAUUAAAAUUGCUUCAUGAACUGAAUUACGAAAAAGACUUCGACUAAUCUUUUUUCGUAAAAGUAUAAACUUAGAGGCCAUAAUACUAGACAGAACUGCACAAGAAACCAAAUACACUGCGAGACUAUUAACUCUGUAAUGAAUAUGCUUUGCCUAUGGGAUCAAAAAUCGUUGCAAUAGAACACAAUAACGCCUUGCCUCCACAGGAUUUUUCCCAAGUUCGAGUCGCAGGAAUGAAAAUUCUGGGCUUUUUUCCUGUGAAACAACACAACAAAAUUUUUUCUUCUUCCUUUUAAAUCGUUCCUGGUACUCAACAAGAACUCUCAGUUGGUACUGUGAUUAGUAUUGACUAACUCAAUAUUUUUCUCAACUUCCCUGAGUGAGAUUUUCCCUGGGACAACAAAUCCCAUGAAACGUCCCGUGGAGACAAGGCCUAAAGUAUUCAAAUAAUAAAACGAAUUCAUUCUAGUUAUUGUAGUGGGACAGGUGUUGAAGAGGUCUGUUGAAAAGAGAAAUUUACACUGAUCUGAUAACACUAUUUAUGGAAACUUAAAAUUGUUAUUGAUUUCAAUGGCAUAGCUCGAUGAACUGACCGACCCAUUGUUGAACACACAAAGUGCUAUUGUUGAGCCUAGUAAUGCUAAAGAAGAAGGGCUACGGGUACUGUACAUUAAAAGGACAGAACAAUUAUGAAAUUCUCACCACACAAAACGACUUAUACUGCAAAUUUAAGACACUGUACCUUGUAAAUUGUAAGUUUACAUGCCUAUUCCCAAAAAUAAAAAAAAUAUAAAAAAAGGGGGCAUCACUUUACAUAGGUGGUGGUCUGUCCAAUCUUGGUUUUGUUCAACAAUUUAUUCUUUGCUUUUUCUUCGUAAAAGAAAGCAUGUUUUGUGCUGAUAAAAAAAUAAAGAGGACGAGUAGAUUCAAAAAUUAAAUAUUUGGAUGAAAUAAUGAUGAACUCAGAGUUUACCUUGAUUUUUAAAGUAUUUCGUGAAAGAUAAGGAGACUUCAGUCACAUAGUAACAGGAUCGAAUUCGAAGAAAAUUCUGGUAUGAGUCCCUCUGCUGAUUCAUGUCACAUGUUUUUACUGCCUUUUUUGUUUUCUUCGUAAGCAAUAACAUAUCGCUGACAAACAUUCAGUGGAGCAGCAUAUCCACCCGGAUAUGAGGAGUCUUCAAAUAACACUUCGUACGGUUCAUGUGGAGUUGAGGGUAUCUGGUUGAUGAUAGCUUUGUAGAAAGCAGUUGUUUGCGGAUAAAGUGCCAUGACUGAAAAGAAGAAACAAUACAUGGUGUCUUGAAAGUAAAAUCGUGUCGCUGCAGGAGCUAAUUCUACAGACUACAGAAAGAUUUUUUAGUGUAUUUUCCGAAGAAAAUACACUAUUGCAUUAUCCCAUGGUGUCGGACCCAGGCUUGAUACAUUGGGAAGAGCACCGAUCACGGGUUGUAGAUCACGAAAAUAUAUACCAUUCAAAUUCAUGUGUAUGUAGUUAUGUAGUAGUGUAGUUAUUGUAGUUAUGUAGUUAUUGCAUUAUGUAGUUAUGUAGUUAUGUAGUAUGUAGUAGUAUGAGUUUGUCUACGCUGUCAAAGUGUGUUUGGAGAACACAUUUUUCCAAUAUCAGGAUUCGUUCUACC